Molecule: ribosomal RNA, 549 nt
Filed under: uncultured Glomus
Lineage: Eukaryota; Fungi; Glomeromycota; Glomeromycetes; Glomerales; Glomeraceae
Description: SSU rRNA
Rfam family: Eukaryotic small subunit ribosomal RNA
Source: RNAcentral
UUGGAGGGCAAGUCUGGUGCCAGCAGCCGCGGUAAUUCCAGCUCCAAUAGCGUAUAUUAAAGUUGUUGCAGUUAAAAAGCUCGUAGUUGAAUUUCGGGGUUAGUAGGCUGGUCGUGCCACAGGUAUGCACUGGUCUUACUGAUUCCUCCUUCCUGAUGAACCGUAAUGCCAUUAAUUUGGUGUUGCGGGGAGUCUGGACUGUUACUUUGAAAAAAUUAUAGUGUUUAAAGCAGGCUAACGCUUGAAUACCUUAUCAUGGAAUAACGAAAUAGGACGUUCGAUCCUAUUUUGUUGGUUUCUAGGAUUGACGUAAUGAUUAAUAGGGAUAGUUGGGGGCAUUAGUAUUCAAUUGUCAGAGGUGAAAUUCUUGGAUUUAUUGAAGACUAACUACUGCGAAAGCAUUUGCCAAGGAUGUUUUCAUUAAUCAAGAACGAAAGUUAGGGGAUCGAAGACGAUCAGAUACCGUCGUAGUCUUAACCAUAAACUAUGCCGACUAGGGAUCGGAUGAUGUUAAUUUUUUAAUGACUCAUUCGGCGCCUUACGGGAAAC